AGGCUGCAACCACGGCGGUCGCUCUCGCUUACUCCUGCAACAAUCUGUCGUUGCUCAGCGAACAGCGCCGCGGUGGACAACCCAAGCAGUCAAGCCGUCCGUCUGUGAGUGCCUUCACCCUUGGACUCGCUUCUUUUUCUUAACCUUUUCUGGCAGCGCCUCCGUCUUCUCCUCACGUAGACCCAUACCUUGAUACACAGACAUCGCGCCAGUGUGAGCGCAGUGGAGAGAGGCAGGGAGGACGGCGCGUGUUGGUGGUCUGCGCAUCGGGCUCUUUGCAGUGCCCCUCUUCUGCCUCUUUCUUUUCUGUCUCUUCCUCUCUCUGUCUCCGCCACUGCUACAAGAAAGCUGCUACUCCCCGCGCAGAGUCUCCACCAUUUUCUCGCCUCGAAUGCUGCCAUGCCACUGUCGAGUGAUGCGCGCGACGGCGGUCGGGAAGCCACAUUCCACUUUCGCUGGCUGUGCGGUGGAUCUGCGAGCCGCCCAUCGAUCGUGCCGCGUAUGAAGCCGCCGCCGGGGUGCUGCCACUCGCUCGUUGGCUACAAAGACCGCUAUCUUAUUUUGUUUGGCGGUGGGUCGCUAGCGCACUUCGCGAACGACGUGUACGUGUACGACAUGGACAGCCGCCGCUGGUCGCGUAAGGCCCCUGAAAACAGUGACAUGGUGCCACCACGACUGGCCCACUCUUCCGCUAUCCAUGGAGACAAGAUGAUUGUGUAUGGUGGGCAGGACCUGUGCAGCCCUGUAGUGUAUGAUGACGUCCUCGAGCUCGACCUUGUCACGUGGAGGUGGUCAGUGCUGCAGCACGCCCAGGCAAGCCCGGAAGGCCCUGGCGCGCGUCGUCUUCACAACGCGCACGUUGUAGGCGGCCGCAUGUACGUGCUUAUGGGCACUCCAACGGAGCCAAGAGAGGCUCCGCUGUGGUAUCUGGACCUGCAUACGAAUGUGUGGCACCAUCUGAAACCGACCAUAUUGCACGACGGUGACACGACGGCCGAUCCAACUACCAUGCUUUCCUUGUGCGGCUGCAGCUCUGCGGUGUCAGGGGAGUGCAUCUACCUCUUCGGCGGGUACCGUGCCGAGGACGGCGAGAGAAGCCCCUUUCCCCAACGCGAGUACGUGAACUCCCUCUUCGAGUACAAUACGAGGCUCAACACGUGGCGUUCCGUGAGGUUGCACCCGCUCGCGCCACGCCCAGCUGCCCGGUACGCCGCUUCACUGGCUGUGCACGACAGGUACGUGUACCUCUUUGGCGGAGACGCAAAUCAGUCAGACAUGUCCUUGUACUUUAGCGAUCUCUGGCGUAUCGGUGUUCAGGACGAGCUGGCGACCUGGCGCAAGGUGAAUGUCGUUGGCGCGUUGUGCCCCUCCGCUCGCAGCGGCUGUGCGUACACGUGCGCCAGAUCAUCGCUCUUCAUUUUCGGCGGCGAGCUCCCCGUUGGAGACCUCACCAUACCUUGGCUCUACGCUGCUGACCUCUUCCAACUUCCGCUCGGCUACUCUGGCCAGCUCACGCUGCGUGCCACUGCGGCGCGGUGGCUUGGAGCCGCUGCCGGGCAGUGCCGCGAGACGUUUUCACUUUGCUCGUUACCAGAAGAGAUCCCGUUGACCUUGGGGGCGCGGUGUGCUCUCGAGGAGUACUCUGAGGGCUGACGCGUGCCUCCCUUCAGCUGCCAUGGAGGGAGGUGCCGCCAAGUCUUGGACUCGCACUCUCGACUGCUCCGUCGGUUGCUGAAUCGGUAGCGUUGAGGGGUCGCAGGUCGUAUCCUGCUGAGCGCAGACACCAUUGGAAGAAAAGUAAAACUGCUAUUCCUUCUACCCCUCCAUGCUCACAUGACAAC
This 1841-nucleotide unclassified non-coding RNA is filed under the name Leishmania donovani. RNAcentral describes it as "gene:LdHU3.20.0240(CDS-product:kelch_domain-conta ining_protein)". Lineage: Eukaryota; Euglenozoa; Kinetoplastea; Trypanosomatida; Trypanosomatidae. The record is from RNAcentral.